GAUGAACGCUGGCGGCGUGCCUAAUACAUGCAAGUCGAGCGAACGGACGAGAAGCUUGCUUUUCUGAUGUUAGCGGCGGACGGGUGAGUAACACGUGGAUAACCUACCUAUAAGACUGGGAUAACUUCGGGAAACCGGAGCUAAUACCGGAUAAUAUUUUGAACCGCAUGGUUCAAAAGUGAAAGACGGUCUUGCUGUCACUUAUAGAUGGAUCCGCGCUGCAUUAGCUAGUUGGUAAGGUAACAGCUUACCAAGGCAACGAUGCAUAGCCGACCUGAGAGGGUGAUCGGCCACACUGGAACUGAGACACGGUCCAGACUCCUACGGGAGGCAGCAGUAGGGAAUCUUCCGCAAUGGGCGAAAGCCUGACGGAGCAACGCCGCGUGAGUGAUGAAGGUCUUCGGAUCGUAAAACUCUGUUAUUAGCGAAGAACAUAUGUGUAAGUAACUGUGCACAUCUUGACGGUACCUAAUCAGAAAGCCACGGCUAACUACGUG
Molecule: ribosomal RNA, 497 nt
Filed under: uncultured bacterium
Lineage: Bacteria
Description: partial 16S ribosomal RNA
Rfam family: Bacterial small subunit ribosomal RNA
Source: RNAcentral